Molecule: ribosomal RNA, 120 nt
Filed under: Diaphorina citri (Asian citrus psyllid)
Lineage: Eukaryota; Metazoa; Arthropoda; Insecta; Hemiptera; Psyllidae
Source: RNAcentral
GCCCGCGAAGAUAGCACGUUAAAUGCACCAGUCCCCAAUGGAUCACUGAAGUUAACCAACGUUGCGCGUGCUUGGUAACAGGAUGGGUGACCAUCUGGGCUACCGCAUUAAUCGCGUACU